AAACGCGUAGCCUGAGAAAGGAGAGUGGGGUGGAUCUUCGCUCGUGUCGUCUUGGAACUGCAGAAGCUCAGCCUUCCACUUCCCAUUGGAGACGUGCAUAGUCAGCUCCUCUUGCACCUUCCUUUGGCACCUGCUUUCUUUAGAGUCCCACCUGUUGGAUAUGCGGCCACUGCUGAUCUGCAGAUUCCCUCUUGAUAUUCAACUGUUGCAAGCAGACCAUGGGGGAUGAAACGGA
Molecule: long non-coding RNA, 235 nt
Organism: Nothoprocta perdicaria
Lineage: Eukaryota; Metazoa; Chordata; Aves; Tinamiformes; Tinamidae
Exons: 3
Source: RefSeq, a predicted model, not a curated record